RNAcentral lists this ribosomal RNA (643 nucleotides) under Setaria viridis. RNAcentral's name for it is "eukaryotic LSU rRNA". The stretch from base 241 to 396 matches the Rfam family "5.8S ribosomal RNA". Lineage: Eukaryota; Viridiplantae; Streptophyta; Magnoliopsida; Poales; Poaceae. The record is from RNAcentral.
UUCCGUAGGUGAACCUGCGGAAGGAUCAUUGUCGUGACCCUUAAACAAAACAGACCGUGAACAUGUCAUCCAUCCCGCACGUGGUUCUACCCGUGCAAGGCCCCCGACCUUUCCGAAGGAGAGGGGCCGCAAAAGAACCCACGGCGCCGAAGGCGUCAAGGAAAACUGAUAUUGCCUUGCUCGGGGCUGUGCUCGGCUUGCCGAGCACACCUCGUGCAGCGAUGCUAUCUUAAUCCACACGACUCUCGGCAACGGAUAUCUCGGCUCUCGCAUCGAUGAAGAACGUAGCAAAAUGCGAUACCUGGUGUGAAUUGCAGAAUCCCGCGAACCAUCGAGUUUUUGAACGCAAGUUGCGCCCGAGGCCUUCUGGUUGAGGGCACGCCUGCCUGGGCGUCACGCCAAAAGACACUCCCAACCCAAACCUGGGGAAGGACGUGGUGUUUGGCUCCCCGUGCUGCAAGGCGCGGUGGGCCGAAGUUUGGGCUGCCGGCAUAACUUGUCGGGCACCGCACGUGGUGGGCGACAUCUAGUUGUUCUCGGUGCAGUGUCCUGGCAUGCAGCUGGCUUAUUGGCCUCAAGGACCCAUACACGACCGAAGCGUUUAGGCGCUCGGACCGCGACCCCAGGUCAGACGGGACUACCC